GACGACAAUGUGAUACCAAUAUACGACAUAAUUUUUGUUCAUUUUAGCUAUUGUAUAAAAAUUAAUCAUUUAAGGUUAAUAACUCCUAGGAUUCAUCCAGUGGUUUCAGUCAUACUGUAAAUUCAGAAGUUAUUGCGAGGUUUUUAUCAAUGCAAACAAUGUGACUGGGUGAGUAUCGCUUUCUGCUAACUGAAACAGACC
Molecule: long non-coding RNA, 201 nt
Filed under: Mytilus galloprovincialis (Mediterranean mussel)
Lineage: Eukaryota; Metazoa; Mollusca; Bivalvia; Mytilida; Mytilidae
Source: RNAcentral